Molecule: non-coding RNA, 28 nt
Filed under: Bombyx mori (domestic silkworm)
Lineage: Eukaryota; Metazoa; Arthropoda; Insecta; Lepidoptera; Bombycidae
Source: RNAcentral
UAUGUGGAAUCAGUUCUAAAAGCGUAGC